RNAcentral lists this transfer RNA (69 nucleotides) under Dendrophryniscus sp. CFBH38512. RNAcentral's name for it is "tRNA-Val". It matches the Rfam family "tRNA". From Rfam's summary of the family: Transfer RNA (tRNA) molecules are approximately 80 nucleotides in length. Their secondary structure includes four short double-helical elements and three loops (D, anti-codon, and T loops). Lineage: Eukaryota; Metazoa; Chordata; Amphibia; Anura; Bufonidae. The record is from RNAcentral.
CGCAAUGUAGCUUAAUCAAAGCAUCUCGCUUACACCGAGAAAAUGCCUGUGAAACUCUGACCAUUUCGA